Molecule: non-coding RNA, 98 nt
Organism: Acanthosepion pharaonis
Lineage: Eukaryota; Metazoa; Mollusca; Cephalopoda; Sepiida; Sepiidae
Source: the annotation of a GenBank genome assembly
UUUAAACACCAGUUCCCAUAUAAUCACCAAAGUUAAGCAAUGUCGAGCCUGGUCAGUACUUAGAUGAGUGACUGUUUGGGAAUAUCAGGUGCUGUAAG